GGAAGUAUAGCUCAAUGGUAGAGCACUUGCCUCAUAUGCAAAAGGUGCUGGGUUCUAUCACCA
This 63-nucleotide transfer RNA is filed under the name Fukomys damarensis (Damara mole-rat). It matches the Rfam family "tRNA", at positions 1 to 61 of the family's 71-position model. Rfam says of the family: Transfer RNA (tRNA) molecules are approximately 80 nucleotides in length. Their secondary structure includes four short double-helical elements and three loops (D, anti-codon, and T loops). Lineage: Eukaryota; Metazoa; Chordata; Mammalia; Rodentia; Bathyergidae. The record is from Rfam by way of RNAcentral.